This 3351-nucleotide long non-coding RNA is filed under the name Marmota monax (woodchuck). The record is from RNAcentral. Lineage: Eukaryota; Metazoa; Chordata; Mammalia; Rodentia; Sciuridae.
AUUAAACCCAGGGACUUUGUGCAUGCUAGGCAAGCACUCUACCACUGAGCUAUACCCUCGGCCCGUCUCAUUUUUGAGACGGGCUUUCUAAGUUGCACUGAGCAAUUCAGUGAGACCUUGUCUCUAAAUAAAAUUCAAAAAUAGGGCUGGCGAUAUGGCUCAGUGGUCAAGUGCCUCUGAGUUCAAUCCCCGGUUCUUUUUUUUUUUUUUUUAAAGGGAAAUCUUUCCAUCUUCUAAGUUUCUCUUCAGUUUGUUUCUUUAAUGUUCUGUAGUUUUUAGUUUUCAUUGUAGAGGUCUUUCACCUCUUUUGUUAGAUGAGUCCCAAAUAUUUUAUUAUUCUUUUUCAAGGCUAUUGUGAAUGGGAUAGCUUCCCCAAUUUCUUUUUCGGUUGAGUCAUCAUUGAUGUAUAGGAACACGAUUUAUGAGUGUUAAUUUAUCCUGCUAUUUUGCUGAAUUCAUUUAUGAGUUCUAGAAGUUUUCUGGUGGAUUUUUUUGGUCUUCUAAAUAUAGAAUCAUGUUGGCAAAAAGGGAUAGUUUGAAUUCUUUUCCUAUUGGUAUCCUGUUAAUUUUUUUCUUUUGCCCAAUUGCUCUGGCUUAUCCUUAACUCACUCACUUUAUUUAUUUAUUUAUAUUUAAUUUUACUUUGAAACAAGGUCUUCCUAAGUUGCUGAGGCUGGCAUUGAAUUUGUGAUUUACCUGUCUUAGCCUCCUGCGAAUGAAUUUUUUAAAGAAAUAUUUUUGAUCCAUGAUUGAUUGAAGCCAUGGGUAGUAGAACCUGUGGAUAUGGAGAGCUGAGCAUAUCUAAAUUUUAGUUUUUUAGGAAUAGGCUCUUUUAAGCCCACUUAGAAGGGCAUCUGUAUGCUGGACACUGCAAAGCAUUUCAUGUCUGUAUGUUCACAACAACCUUGUGAGAUAGGUGAGUUUAUUUUCAGUGUUAGCUUUAGAGAGCUCAUCCAAAAUACAAUUCAGAAGUAUCUUAGAACUUUUUAAAAACUACUUUUUAAAGAAGUGUCCAUACUGAUUACAUCAGAAUCUGUGGGAAGAUGAAGGUAGAUAUUGGCAUUUUUGAAAGCACUUCAUGUGAUUUGAAUGUCCUACUAGGUUUAAGAACCACUGCACUUAACAUCCUGCCUGCUAUACAAAUAAUAGAAUGGAAGUUAAAUCCAAGGCUGCUCAUUUUGCUCUAGUUUAAUUAAUUGGCCAAAAUGGCCAGGGAAUGUAUUCAACCAAGGCAGCAGUGACCAGCUUACCCUGGUUUACCCAGGACCUUUCCAGUUUAGCAGUGGAGGUCCUAUGUCUUAGGAAACCCCUCAGUCAUUUUCCUGGAUGGAUUGGAUGGUGAGCCUACAAAGCAGUUAUUUAUGGAAUUUAUCUGUAAAAACAUUUUAUUCUUUAAACAUCCUAUAUGUGUUUCUAAAAAUCAAAUAGUAUAACAGAAGUGGCUCACCGUGUAUUUACUGACCUGUUUUCAAGUUUGCUUAUUUUUUGUCUUGCAGUUCAAAUCUACUAAGAGCUCCUCUAGUUUUUUCAUCUUAGCUAUUGUACUUUUAAUUAACUUCCGAUUUGUUCUUUUUAUAAAACAAUUUCUCAUUGUUAAUACAAAGAGAUGCAUGUUUAUCUUUGUUCUCUAUUUGAUAAAAUGUUGUAUCUUCCUUCAAGUUGUUAAUCUGACUUUCAUUUAGUUCUGUGAAUGUUUAUAAUGGUCAGUCUUUCUGAUACAUCUGAUGUCUAGUUACUGUGACAGGCCUUCAGGGUGCCGCUUUUCUAUUGGCAUUUGGGUCAUAUUUUCCUGUUUUUUUUCCAUGCCUCUUUGUAUGGCAAGUCAACAUUUAACCUCAAUAAGAAACUGAUCAACUAUCUUCCAAAGUAGUUACUCCAUUUUUCUUUCACUUGUAUAUGAGUGAUCUAAUGGCUUCACAUGUCUUUUCCAACAUUAUAGUAGAUAUGAAAUAUUAUAUUGAUAUGGUUCUGCUUUUUUUCCCCCAGAGAACCUAAGAUGCUAGUCUUGUGUAAAUUUCUAAUUCUGAUGAGGUGCAGUUCUUUUUUUAAUUUCCUUUCAUGGUAAAUUCUUUCUGUGACCUAACAAGUCAUUUUUACUUGCCUCCAAAUCCAAAAUACUCUCCUAUGAUUUUUUUCUAGUAGUCUGUUUCUGAGUUUUACAUUUAGAUCUAUGGCCCAUCUCCAUUUUUAUGGUGUGUAUAUGUCUGUCUCUGUGUGUGUGUGUGUAGAUGAGAUGGGGUCAGGGCUUUUUUAGAUAUCUAGUUGUUCAACAAAUAUGGGUAUGCUUUCCCCAUUGAAUUAACUUGGCCCCUUACUGAAAAACUAUAAAUAUAGGUCUCUUUCCUAGACUCUUUAUUCUAGUCCAUUGACAUAUUCAUCUAUUCUUAUUAUAAUACCACAGUGUCUUGAUUACUGUGGUUUUAUAGUCUUGAAAAUUAGAUAUUCCAAGUCUUCCAAACUGUUCAAGAUUGCUUUGGGUACUUUAAGGUCUUUGCACUUUGAAAAUUUAAAAUCAGCUAGUCUAUUUCUUUUUUUCCCUUUUCUUAAAAAAACAGUGAAAUUUUUGUAGUUAAUGCAUUAAAUAUACAAAUUAAAAUUUCUAAUUCAUGAACAUGCUCGCUCCCUGUAGUUAGGCUUUUUGCAAAAUGAAGUUUUAAAAAGGGUGGGAAUGUAGCUCAGAGGCAGUACACUCCUGGCUUCAAUCCCCAAUAUUACACACACACACACACACACACACAUUGAAGUUUCAAAUUAGAUCACAAGUUUCUAUCAGAUCACUAGCAUGCCCUGGCUUUGAUUCCUAUAAUGAUCUUGCUAAAUGCACUUUUUAAUUCUGGUUGAUCUUGUUAAAUAUUUUUUUUGUCUUUUACUCCUUUUUUCUCUUCUUCUUACAUGAGAUUUUCUAUGUAAAUGGUCUAUUAUUUAUGAACAACUACCCUAGCUUUUUCUUAACUGGCUAGAAACUCCAGAAUGAUGCUGAACAGAAAUGCUGAAAGCAUAUAUCUUACUAUUUAAUCAUCAUUAGGUGUUUUUCACGGAUAGCCUUUACAAGACCAGGGAAUUUAUAUUCUUAGUUUUCUGAGAGGUUUUUGUAUUUUAAGCGGGUGCUGAAUUUGUCAGAUGCUUUUGUAAUCAUUGAGAUGAUUGGUUCUGUUGUCAUCUAAAAUGGUUUUUCUCCUUUACUCUGCUUAUGGGUGACUUACACAGAUUGGCUCUAAAUUUUUUAUUGUUUUGGUACAGGGGAUGGAACCUAGGGAUGCUCUACUGCUGAACUACAUCCUCAGCCUUUCUUUUCUUUUAAAUUUUUUUUUAAUACUUACUUUUUAGUUGUAGUUGUGUAGACUUUUAUUU